Molecule: non-coding RNA, 2393 nt
Organism: Oryctolagus cuniculus (rabbit)
Lineage: Eukaryota; Metazoa; Chordata; Mammalia; Lagomorpha; Leporidae
Source: RefSeq, a predicted model, not a curated record
CCACGCUCUGCCCGGGGUCUCGGAACUUGGGAAGGGAGGUCCCCACCUGUGGCUUGGGCCUUCAGUGUCACCCUCUCCAGUGUGUUUUGGAAAGAGGCCUCGUGCUUAUGUCCAAAGUCCCGUGUGCAACCUGGCAGGUGACCUUGGCCGCAAACUUUACCUGUUGGGAGCUCUUCCCUUCCCUGGGAAAGGUGCUUGGGAGGGGUUUCCGUGGGUGGCAGAAUCUGCUCCUGAAGGUGGGGGCGGUGCCGCCCUUAGGAAGCCUCCAGCCCAGGGACCCUGCCUGAGGCCCACAGGGGAUAUUUUCUGCUGUAAACUUUUUAAGGGAGUUUUGAGAAAAGCUGUUUUAGGAAUGACUUGGUAACCAGUAACUUACUGACUUGGAUUAGCUGUGAUCUUUCAGAUCCGUGUACGUGGAAAGUCUUAGAAAGCGAGAAAAGCAACUCAGUGUUUCUAAAUGUGGUGGCCAUUUUCUUGACACUGAACGGAUUUGUUUUCAGAAGCCAGUUAGGACCCCUCUGGCUAGCCCCUGCCCCAGCAGAUUGCUCCUAACCACUGGGACGUUGCUUUUGCUUUAAAAUCUUCCCAGGCAGUUCAAAUGCGUAACCUCUGACCUGGAAGAAGUCAGUGAGAGGGGCCCACAGGACCCUUCCCCCCAGUUCCUGCAGGGAAGGCAGAGCCCUCUCCCUGCCUGCAGCCCCAGGCCUGGUCCCUCCCAGACGCCUAAUUUAGAUCAAGGUCCAGCCAGAAGAGGGACCCGAUCUAACCACCUCGCCUAACGCCUCUCGGGAGGACCCUGUUUGAUAAUGAAGUCAGCACGAGAGAUGGAGACACAAAGAUUUCUGCUACAUCAAGUGAAUGCCUGGCUCCGCGGUUCCUGUGAUCUGUGAUGUGCUCUGUGACAUAGCACAAUGCAAUCCUUCUCUGUGCGUCUACCACUGUGAGCUAAGGCUCUUGUCAUUUGCUGUAAGCGUGCUCACCCCCUCCUGGAAGGAUGGCAGCUGUCUGAUGAAGGCGGCACUGAAGAGCUGUAAUGGUGCUACUGGAAAAUGGUGGCAGAGAAAUUACUAUUACUAUUACCUCGGUUCUUCGUCUCACGUGAAAGAAGAAUUUCCAAGCAGACAAGCAGAGGGAUUUAAAAAGAUUUAUUAGAGUCAAAGAUCUCCAGCCAGAGCAGCAUGAAGGGGGGCUUCAAAGAGAGGAAAAAACCUGAAAGGACUGGUAGCACUGGGAUUUUUUAAGUACAAUUUCGAAGGAAAAAAAAAAAAACAACUGGACAAUCAGAUUGGCAUUCAGUUACCAGGCAGGGACAAAAACCAUCAGAAGACCUGAUUUACAAUUCUCCAUCCUGUCUGGCCUGUUCUUGAUAAAACAGAAACCAUCCAGAAGGAAUCUUCUCAUUGUUCCAGAUAGCAGCCUCAACAGAGCUAGAGAAGACCGAGCCGCAGUCCCCAAGGAACUCAGACCAGUGGAGCAGCACAUAUCGGUUCUCUAUUGUGUAAGAAAUUACUUCCAAAGCGAGACGCUUAAUACAGCAAACGCUUGUGAUGCACAGUUUCUAUGGAUGAAGACUCUGGGCCCAGCUUUGCUGGGUGCCUCUACUCAGAGUUUCUGACAAUGAGACCAUGAGUGACAGCUGGGGCCCAGUCACCCCGGGAGCUUGCCUGAGGCCAUUCAUUUCCAAGCUCACCUGUGGGACAGUUGGCCCACCGCAAGUCCCUACUGGCCAUUGGCUGGAGAUGUGUGUCCUUCCUUGCCAGUACACCACAAUGACGAUGGUGCUUCCUCCUCCACAAGUCUUUUGUUCUAAUAUAUUUAUUUGAGAGGCAGAGACAUGGGGAGCUCCUAUCCACUAGUUCACUCCUCAAAUGCUCUCAAAGGACAGCGCAGGGACUGAAGCUGGGACUCAGGAAUGCGAUCCGGGUGUCCCAUGUGGGUGGCAGCAGCCCAGCGACUUCAGCCAUCACCACUGCCUCCCAAAGGCUGCACCAGUGGGAAGCUGGAGCCAGCGGCCGGAGCCAGGAGCUGAACCCAGGCAUUCUGAUGUGACACACGGACCUCUCAGCUCCUUGGCCAAAUGUCCACUCCUCCUCCACAUUCCUGUUAGAAGUGAGUUGGGGGCCGUGCUGUGGUGUAGUGGGUUAAGUAGCUGCCUGCAACACUGGCAUCGCUUAUGGGUGCCCAGUUCUAGUCCUGGCUGCUCCACUUCUGAUCCAGCUCCCUGCUAAUGUGCCUGGGAAGGCAGUGGAAGAUGGCCCAAAUAUUUGGCCACUGCCAGCCACGUGGGAGACCAGGAUGGAGUUCUGAGUUCCUGGCUUUGGCUCAGCCCUGGUUUUCUGUGGUCAUUUGGAGAGUGAACCUGUGGAUGCCAAAUGAGUCUCUCUCUCUCUCUC